AAUCAACGCUGGCGGCGUGCCUCAGACAUGCAAGUCGAACGCGAAAGCCCCCCUUCGGGGGGGCAAGUAGAGUGGCGCACGGGUGAGUAACACGUAGGUAAUCUACCUUUGGAUGGGGAAUAACAACCGGAAACGGUUGCUAAUACCGCAUAAUGCAGCGGCACCUAAUGGUGACAGUUGUUAAAGCGGGGGGAUCGAAAGACCUCGCGUCUGAAGAGGAGCCUGCGGCGGAUUAGCUAGNGGUAAGGUAACGGCUUACCAAGGCGACGAUCCGUAGUCGGCCUGAGAGGGGCGGGUCGGCCACACUGACACUGACACACGGGUCAGACUCCUACGGGGAGGCAGCAGUCGGGUAAUUUUGGGCAAUGGGCGAAAGCCUGACCCAGCAACGCCGCGUGAAGGAU
This 404-nucleotide ribosomal RNA is filed under the name uncultured bacterium. RNAcentral's name for it is "bacterial SSU rRNA". It matches the Rfam family "Bacterial small subunit ribosomal RNA", at positions 32 to 409 of the family's 1533-position model. The record is from RNAcentral.